Molecule: transfer RNA, 78 nt
Filed under: Mycobacteroides abscessus
Lineage: Bacteria; Bacillati; Actinomycetota; Actinomycetes; Mycobacteriales; Mycobacteriaceae
Also listed under: 10 other names
Description: tRNA-Pro
Rfam family: tRNA
About the family: Transfer RNA (tRNA) molecules are approximately 80 nucleotides in length. Their secondary structure includes four short double-helical elements and three loops (D, anti-codon, and T loops). Further hydrogen bonds mediate the characteristic L-shaped molecular structure. tRNAs have two regions of fundamental functional importance: the anti-codon, which is responsible for specific mRNA codon recognition, and the 3' end, to which the tRNAs corresponding amino acid is attached (by aminoacyl-tRNA synthetases). tRNAs cope with the degeneracy of the genetic code in two manners: having more than one tRNA (with a specific anti-codon) for a particular amino acid; and 'wobble' base-pairing, i.e. permitting non-standard base-pairing at the 3rd anti-codon position.
Source: RNAcentral
CGGGCUGUGGGAAAGUUUGGUCAAUCCGCCUGGCUGGGGGCCAGGAAAUCGCGCGUUCGAAUCGCGCCAGCCCGACCA